CCACUUCGGUGGGGAUUAGUGGCGAACGGGUGAGUAACACGUGGGCAAUCUGCCCUUCACUCUGGGACAAGCCCUGGAAACGGGGUCUAAUACCGGAUACCACUCUCGCAGGCAUCUGUGAGGGUUGAAAGCUCCGGCGGUGAAGGAUGAGCCCGCGGCCUAUCAGCUUGUUGGUGAGGUAAUGGCUCACCAAGGCGACGACGGGUAGCCGGCCUGAGAGGGCGACCGGCCACACUGGGACUGAGACACGGCCCAGACUCCUACGGGAGGCAGCAGUGGGGAAUAUUGCACAAUGGGCGAAAGCCUGAUGCAGCGACGCCGCGUGAGGGAUGACGGCCUUCGGGUUGUAAACCUCUUUCAGCAGGGAAGAAGCGAAAGUGACGGUACCUGCAGAAGAAGCGCCGGCUAACUACGUGCCAGCAGCCGCGGUAAUACGUAGGGCGCAAGCGUUGUCCGGAAUUAUUGGGCGUAAAGAGCUCGUAGGCGGCUUGUCACGUCGGGUGUGAAAGCCCGGGGCUUAACCCCGGGUCUGCAUUCGAUACGGGCUAGCUAGAGUGUGGUAGGGGAGAUCGGAAUUCCUGGUGUAGCGGUGAAAUGCGCAGAUAUCAGGAGGAACACCGGUGGCGAAGGCGGAUCUCUGGGCCAUUACUGACGCUGAGGAGCGAAAGCGUGGGGAGCGAACAGGAUUAGAUACCCUGGUAGUCCACGCCGUAAACGGUGGGAACUAGGUGUUGGCGACAUUCCACGUCGUCGGUGCCGCAGCUAACGCAUUAAGUUC
Molecule: ribosomal RNA, 778 nt
Filed under: Actinomycetes bacterium
Lineage: Bacteria; Bacillati; Actinomycetota; Actinomycetes
Description: bacterial SSU rRNA
Rfam family: Bacterial small subunit ribosomal RNA
Source: RNAcentral